UCAUAGUUGUAAGUAUGUUUAAGCUGUUUUGUAAUGAAUAUGUUUAAAGAUUGUUAUUCAAAAGAAACUUUCAAUAAAAUUUGUAAAUUAGAGUUACACUUAACGAAUAAAAAUGUGUUGCUAUAUAUAACGAGUUAUACUAAAGUUAUACUAAUUCUAAACAGAGUUAUACUUAACGAAAAAAAAAACUUUAAUCAGAGUUACACUAAGCGAAGAUAAAAAUAUUCUAAUACGUUGUGUUUGCUACCAGAAAACAACGUUAGAUUUUAAAAUGGUUGGCAAUUUAAGCAAGCUUUCAUUAUUAUUGAUUUUUUUUCUCUCGAUUUUGUUUGUACAUGGGUUUGAUAUGAAACUAUCUUUAGCUAUUGUUUGAAGACAAUGUAAGAAUGCUAGAUAAAUAAUUUAAAGAGAAUAUUACUUCAUUGCAUGAAUCAUCAGAUUAGUUUUGUGUGCAGAACUAAUACAGAAUGAAUUUUUUAAAUUUAAUGAAAAGUUUUUGUACGUAUAUAUUUAUCUGUGAAUAAAAUUAUAAAUAAAAGCAAAAAGUAUGAUGUUUUUCGAUUAAAGUUUUUUAACUGGUAUUCGUAUGCAAAUAAGUAUACAAACCGUAUGAUAUUUAUUUGAUAGUGUGGUUUUAAUGGGGUAAACAUUAUAGCCACAUAUGGAACGCACGAACGCUAUCUCAUAAAGGAGAGUGGUAAAUAUAUGGCUAACAUAUGCUUACCACACGUGGGCCACAUGAAGCUUUUGCGCAAAAAUGAAGUGUAGCUUUCGUUUCUAUUUAAAGUGGUUUUAAUAGGAUAAACAUUAUAGUCACAUAUGGUUCGCACCAAAGCCAUUCCAUAAAGGAGAGUGGAAAAUAUAUGAUUAACAUGCAAUUGCUAUAUAUAGCCCACAUGAAAAAUUCUUGUCGGAGCUCUCGGGAAAGCAUAAACUAGCAUAAUUUAUUAGAUAUGUUAUCAUAUAUUUAUUAUCAUAGAUGUUGUUAUAAUAGAUGUUAUCAUAAAUUACGUUUAAAUUAUUUUCUUUUUAGUUAGCUUAUUGUUUAACUAAUGUUUAUUUGUUAUUACUAUUUUUUUUAACAUUUUUUUUUCAUUAUUAUUUUUAAGACUUGUAAAAAAAUAAAUGGGCAUGACAAAAAACUAUUAAAUAAAGUUUCAAAGUUUCUAUUCAAUAAUUUUUAUAGUUUAUAAACAGCUUUUGAAGGAGUAAAAAGCUUUUCUCAGGCAGAAAAUAAACGAGAAGUUAUAGAAAUUUCGAGUCCCAAAAAUAUAUCUUAUUUAAAUAAAAAAAGCAACAUUUAUUAAAAAAAAAAAA
Molecule: long non-coding RNA, 1317 nt
Organism: Hydra vulgaris (swiftwater hydra)
Lineage: Eukaryota; Metazoa; Cnidaria; Hydrozoa; Anthoathecata; Hydridae
Source: RefSeq, a predicted model, not a curated record